UACAGAGGUCUCAAGCGUUGUUCGGAUUCAUUGGGCGUAAAGGGUGCGUAGGCGGCGCGGUAAGUCGGGUGUGAAAUCUCGGGGCUUAACUCCGAAACUGCAUUCGAUACUGGCGUGCUUGAGGACUGGAGAGGAGACUGGAAUUUACGGUGUAGCAGUGAAAUGCGUAGAUAUCGUAAGGAAGACCAGUGGCGAAGGCGGGUCUCUGGACAGUUCCUGACACUGAGACACGAAGGCCAGGGGAGCAAACGGG
This 253-nucleotide ribosomal RNA is filed under the name uncultured bacterium. RNAcentral describes it as "partial 16S ribosomal RNA". It matches the Rfam family "Bacterial small subunit ribosomal RNA", at positions 524 to 776 of the family's 1533-position model. The record is from RNAcentral.